RNAcentral lists this small nuclear RNA (195 nucleotides) under Triticum aestivum (bread wheat). RNAcentral describes it as "snRNA U2". It matches the Rfam family "U2 spliceosomal RNA". From Rfam's summary of the family: U2 is a small nuclear RNA (snRNA) component of the spliceosome (involved in pre-mRNA splicing). Complementary binding between U2 snRNA (in an area lying towards the 5' end but 3' to hairpin I) and the branchpoint sequence (BPS) of the intron results the bulging out of an unpaired adenosine, on the BPS, which initiates a nucleophilic attack at the intronic 5' splice site, thus starting the first of two transesterification reactions that mediate splicing. Lineage: Eukaryota; Viridiplantae; Streptophyta; Magnoliopsida; Poales; Poaceae. The record is from Rfam by way of RNAcentral.
AUACCUUUCUCGGCCUUUUGGCUAAGAUCAAGUGUAGUAUCUGUUCUUAUCAGUUUAAUAUCUGAUAUGUGGGUCAUGUGCCCACAACGAUAUUAAAUUUAUUUUUUGUGGGGGAGGGUCCACCACACUAGCUUGCUAGUGGGGCCUUCAUGUGUCGUUUGGGCAUUGCACUAUUGCCAGGCAGGCGCACCCCAA